This 3722-nucleotide long non-coding RNA is filed under the name Carassius auratus (goldfish). RNAcentral describes it as "lncRNA (ENSCARG00000068632.1)". The record is from RNAcentral. Lineage: Eukaryota; Metazoa; Chordata; Actinopteri; Cypriniformes; Cyprinidae.
CUUUGCUGCUCCUGGUACCAUGGUAACAGCUCAAAGUGCCGUCAGAUCUCUCCUCCCGCUAGUUUGCUGUGCUGUCCUCUGCUCCUCUAUACUGUAGACCCCCUUCACCAGCAAACAGUUGACCCAAUGGCCAUCCAGGCACCAGGACAAUAGAGGACAAGGCAAGUAAUCAGCCUAGUACAUAUCCCCAGUCUGUGUAUAUUCUGUAUAUACUAGUGGUUAAAAGUGAGGGGCUUGUACUCCACCAUAGAACAGACAAAAGACACCUGUGAAUGAAUAAAGGAGAAAAAGAAACAGUGAAAAAUAAUGCAAAAGAAAAGGUAUAGCAAGAACUUAGUUAAAAUUAGUUGGUUUUGCCUAAGAAAUGCCUUUUAUUAUUAUCCAAUAUAGGAAAAGAUGAAUGAACUGCAGAUUCUUACCAUGGACAUGAGAGGAGUCAGGUAUUUCCAGCACAGCAUGAAUAAUUGGUUGGGGCUUGAUUUUGUCAUAUGAUAAAUAAGUUGUGUGUAGAGGAUUUAGCUUCUUUGGCUUUCCAGCAUUGAUGUUGUAUUCUGUUGGCUUUAAUGAUGUUAAGGUUUAUAGCCUGUGUGUGAUUUACCAUUAAGGACAUAUUUUUAGUCAAACAACAGGAAUACAUCCCCCUGCAGGUCACAGUAUAACAUAACAACACAUAAAGAUAUUGUAGUGUUAAUAAUAUACAAUGCAAAUUAAAGAAAUAAAAUUGCACAGACCCUCGGUCUUUCAAAUUUGAGAAUUUUAACAGUAGGCCUUUAUACUGUAGGCUCAGUUAAUUUUUGUUCAUUUUACUCUCAUUACACAAAACACUCUCCUUUGACCUCUGUAACCAUGAUGAAUUGGCCCAAGAAGCAAGUGAAACAGAAGAGCAGGAGGAAUGUUUCUCCCCGUCCUGCCCUGUGCAGAAUCACUGGGAACAGAUCCAUCACUGAUGUCGUGACGGCUUCCACUGGAACAAACUUCAAAGGGAUGGUCAUAAAGUUAUGGAAGAAUAUGAGAGUGUUGUCACAACCGGCCCAUGGCAGUUGGGAGCUGAAAGAAGAGAUGAGGAAGAAAAGCGCCCAAGCCAUGGCAAAAGUGUUUGCAUGGGAAAAGAUUAAACAAAUUUAAUUUAAUUGAUUAAAACUUUUAUAAUACAUGUAGCAGAGGAAUGGAAAUCUCCCAAUUUUUCAACCACAUUUCCUGCCACAGCCAGAAGAAACUCAAAGACUCAGUGACCUCUCUCUUCUGUUUGUCCUUUUAUUCUGUCCAUUCCACACAGUUUUCACACAUUUCCAUUGAUGUCCAGGCUGCACAUAUUCUGGUUAGCAUUAGUUUCUACAAAUGUGUCAAGGUAUUCAUUGACUGAUCCUCCCCAGCUAAACUGACAAACAGGUUUACAUUAUUUAAGAAACAGAAAAGACAGAAUAAUGAUAAUAUCCAAAUCUUAUGCAAUAGUCAUCCAAAAUUAUUCAAAUAAAGUGGCUAAAUGAAAUAAAGUGACCGGUUUUAAAAACAUAGUUUGAUUAAUUAAUAUGUAAAACCUAAAGCUUCCAGUUUAGGAAGAAAUUCAAUGUAGAAGACUUGUUCUUUCAAUUACAGUUUUUUUUUGGUUUGGUACAACAUUUAUAAAUAAGGUGUGAAUUUUCUUGUAAUACUAAUAUCACAACAGAUCAUCAAAAGUGUACUAUUUAUUUUUCAAAUAUUUCAGCAUAUUUUCACUUGUCUUAGUAUGAUCCACACAAUCAAAAAGAAUCCUUUUCACUACACAAAAUAAGUGUUGCAUCUAUAAAUGUUUUAUUCACAGUAACAGUCUUUCAUAAAGCUGUCAUUAUCAAACUUUUCAUUUGCAUGUCUUCUCAUUCAGUUACAUUUGUCUAUUAUUUAAUCUAACUCAUCUGAAUGGUUAACCAGUUAAUCAUUUGGUGCAUCUAUGUAUAGAUACAUGUAGAAAUAUAAUUCAGUAGAUAUAGUCUCUAAAGAACUUGCCUGCAAUUUAUGGAUAAUCAAAUGUAAUUAAUAAUUUUUACACUAGUGAUUAAUUUCGUAAGGGUAAGUUUUAGGAAUAGGGUGACUGUAGGGGGAUAUAAUAUACAGUUUGUACAGUAUAAAUCCCAUUACUCCUACUGAAUGUCACCUAUAAAGAUAGGAAUACCUACCUGACAAAAUCACCCAAAACCUCUCUUUGAGGAUGUCCUGAUUUGUGAAACUGUCUGUUUUUGCAAUUUGUGAAAAUACAGCAGGAUACAAGGGAGAGGAACUGAUCAGAGAUUGAUCAGAGAUGUAUCAGAAGAAGGGAGACAGAUGGCAUCAAAUACAGUAUUUUGCAUUACAUUGUGCCAUGUGAUACUGUAUGUAGUGGCAUACCUGUAUACCAGGGUAGAGACAGCACAUAUAACUCACCUUCAAUCUGAAAAGUUCAGUUACAGUAUAGAUUCAGUCAUUGUCAGGGUUAUGGGCUGUUUGUGUGGGCUUGCUCUGUGUGACCCAGUUUCUUCCUCUUGUUAAUGAUUAAUUCGAAUCCAGGUGUGUCUAGUCAUUAGUCCCUUAAUUCUCUGUGUAUUUAAGGUCUUGCCCAUUCAAUUAGUUUAGUUGGUUCUGCAUGUCUUUUCCGGUGUCUUCUAUGUUGUGAGUGGUUUAUUAAAGACUUUGAUAUUCAAUAACUCUUUGUUUCCUCAAAUCAGUCAUCAAAUCAUCAUAAUAAUUUUGUAAUAUGUUUAUUUACAGGACUGUUUGGAUGAAACAAGCUACCCUUAAAGUGCCCCAAUAAUGGAUUUUUUUUUUUUUUAAAUGCAGUGUUGUAACACAAACAUAAAAGUUCACCGAGUAUAAAGUUAUUGUCUUUCAAAAGAAAGAGUCGACUCUGAGUCAUGAAAACAAGUAGUUUUUAAAAUGACUCCUAAGCUGUUUCAAGUUGACAUCAAAAAUAAAAACUCACAUAUUUAUGCCCGCCCACAUGCAGACCCAGGAAAACUUGAACCUCCCCUCCCUCAAACACAGUAGCAGCGGUUUCCUGCAGAAGAGUGUAACUGAAGCCUGGAGAUCUCCAAAUGGGAGUGGAAACUCCAAAAUGUGGUGGGAGCAGUAAACAGGAGCUUCUUCCCAUUGACAGACAGGUACAUGACACACAUGCAAAAAAAUGUUCUCCCAAUCCACUUCAGUGCAAACUCUGCUCGACAGCUGAUUAUAAAGUUUUUAUUGGUUGUGUAAUAUCAAUUGACUGACUGCAAGGAGGGUGCUGAAUAGCAUGGUAAUGAAAGUUGCACUUCAGGAGAUGAACAAUUAAUAAGAUUGUGUGAUAUGAGAUAGUUCAAUGACUCCCCAACUGGACCUCACCGGACAACGGCACCUUUUUAGUUACACCUAGCAUCACUGCCCCCCUCCUACCCUGUGUAUUUCGUGCCCUGGGACGCCCCCAUUGCUUGGAACAAAGUUAUAGAGUAAAAUAUUUCCCCUGUACUGGGAAAGCUUGCAUGAGAGCUCGUGGGUGAUUUUAAUUUACAUCAUGAAGCAGAGGUUCAAACUCAGGUUCGAACACCACCUGCCACCACCAGCCACCACCAGCUUUGGGCUCUGCUCUCAGGGAGGAUAUUUAUUUAUAUAGCAUAUUUUAUUUUAAAUGAACUAGACACAAUGAUUCAUUUAGAAAAAAAAGUCCAUAAAAAUUGCCAAUGGUGACGAGGAGACCCCAUCCCAUUUUUGAGGUUCUGCCUACUUUUGGAGUUCAG